Molecule: ribosomal RNA, 603 nt
Filed under: uncultured bacterium
Lineage: Bacteria
Description: bacterial SSU rRNA
Rfam family: Bacterial small subunit ribosomal RNA
Source: RNAcentral
GAAAGCGUGGGGAGCGAACAGGAUUAGAUACCCUGGUAGUCCAGACCGUAAACGGUGGGCACUAGUUGUGGGAACCUUCCACGGUUUCUGCGACGCAGCUAACGCAUUAAGUGCCCCGCCUGGGGAGUACGAUCGCAAGAUUAAAACUCAAGGGAAUUGACGGGGCCCCGCACAAGCAGCGGAGCAUGCGGCUUAAUUCGACGCAACGCGAAGAACCUUACCAAGGCUUGACAUAUAGGGAAAAGUGGCAGAGAUGUCAUGUCCGCAAGGGCUCUAUACAGGUGGUGCAUGGUUGUCGUCAGCUCGUGUCGUGAGAUGCUGGGUUAAGUCCCGCAACGAGCGCAACCCUCGUUCUGUGUUGCCAGCAUUUAGUUGGGGACUCACAGGAGACUGCCGGGGUUAACUCGGAGGAAGGUGGGGAUGACGUCAAAUCAUCAUGCCCCUUAUGUCUUGGGCUGCACGCAUGCUACAAUGGCCGGUACAGAGGGCUGCAAUACCGUAAGGUGGAGCGAAUCCCAAAAAGCCGGUCUCAGUUCGGAUUGAGGUCUGCAACUCGACCUCAUGAAGUUGGAGUUGCUAGUAAUCGUAGAUCAGCAACGCUAC